This 61-nucleotide transfer RNA is filed under the name Ictidomys tridecemlineatus (thirteen-lined ground squirrel). RNAcentral's name for it is "Spermophilus tridecemlineatus (thirteen-lined ground squirrel) tRNA". It matches the Rfam family "tRNA", at positions 6 to 65 of the family's 71-position model. From Rfam's summary of the family: Transfer RNA (tRNA) molecules are approximately 80 nucleotides in length. Their secondary structure includes four short double-helical elements and three loops (D, anti-codon, and T loops). The record is from Rfam by way of RNAcentral. Lineage: Eukaryota; Metazoa; Chordata; Mammalia; Rodentia; Sciuridae.
UAUAGCUCAUUGUUAGAGCACUUGCCUAGCAUGCAUGAGGACCUGGGUUCCAUCUCCAGUA